GUGCUUGAAGGCCCCAGGUGGGCCCCCUCACUGAGAAUGAGAAGACCAGAGGGGGGUUCAAUUCCCCCCAAGCACC
This 76-nucleotide transfer RNA is filed under the name Dehalococcoidia bacterium. RNAcentral describes it as "tRNA-Leu". It matches the Rfam family "tRNA". Rfam says of the family: Transfer RNA (tRNA) molecules are approximately 80 nucleotides in length. Their secondary structure includes four short double-helical elements and three loops (D, anti-codon, and T loops). Lineage: Bacteria; Bacillati; Chloroflexota; Dehalococcoidia. The record is from RNAcentral.